UACGUAGGGGGCGAGCGUUGUCCGGAUUUAUUGGGCGUAAAGAGCGUGUAGGCGGCCAGGUAGGUCUGCUGUGAAAACUCGAGGCUCAACCUCGAGACGUCGGCGGAAACCAUCUGGCUAGAGUCCGGAAGAGGAGAGUGGAAUUCCUGGUGUAGCGGUGAAAUGCGCAGAUAUCAGGAAAAACACCCGUGGCGAAGGCGGCUCUCUGGGACGGUACUGACGCUGAGACGCGAAAGCGUGGGGAGCGAACAGG
This 253-nucleotide ribosomal RNA is filed under the name uncultured bacterium. RNAcentral describes it as "partial 16S ribosomal RNA". It matches the Rfam family "Bacterial small subunit ribosomal RNA", at positions 524 to 776 of the family's 1533-position model. The record is from RNAcentral.